Molecule: unclassified non-coding RNA, 361 nt
Filed under: uncultured bacterium
Lineage: Bacteria
Description: contains 16S-23S intergenic spacer region
Source: RNAcentral
UCUCGCUUACGCGAGCAGUCUCGCCUGACAAAUAUAACAGACGAUAAGGGUUGCGCUCGUUAAUCCACUUAAGGAAACCAUUCACAUGACGAGCUGACGACAGCCGUGCAGCACCUGUCCAAGUGUCUUGCGAGGGUCCUAGUUUCUUAGGAUUUUCACUUGGAUUUCAAGCCUUGGUGAGGUUCCUCGCUCAGUGUCGAAUUGAACCACAUGAUCCACCGCUUGUGCGAAUUCCCGCCUAUUUCUUUGAGUUUUAAUCUUGCGAUCGUACUUCCCAGGCGACACACUUAACGCGUUGGCUUCGCCACUGGAAGGGUCGAUGCUCCCAAUAGCUAGUGUGUAUUGUUUAGGGCGUGGACUA